CCUACGGGUGGCAGCAGUGAGGAAUAUUGGUCAAUGGACGAGAGUCUGAACCAGCCAAGUCGCGUGAAGGAUGACUGCCCUAUGGGUUGUAAACUUCUUUUAUAAAGGAAUAAAACGAGGCACGUGUGCCUUUUUGCAUGUACUUUAUGAAUAAGGCUCGGCUAACUCCGUGCCAGCAGCCGCGGUAAUACGGAGGAUCCGAGCGUUAUCCGGAUUUAUUGGGUUUAAAGGGAGCGUAGAUGGGUUGUUAAGUCAGGUGUGAAAGGUUGCGGCUCAACCGUAAAAUUGCAAUUGAUACUGGCAGUCUUGAGUACAGUUGAGGUAGGCGGAAUUCGUGGUGUAGCGGUGAAAUGCUUAGAUAUCACGAAGAACCCCGAUGGCGAAGGCAGCUUACUAAACUGUGACUGACAUUGAUGCUCGAAAGUGUGGGUAUCAAACAGGAUUAGAUACCCUUGUAGUC
This 460-nucleotide ribosomal RNA is filed under the name uncultured bacterium. RNAcentral's name for it is "partial 16S ribosomal RNA". It matches the Rfam family "Bacterial small subunit ribosomal RNA", at positions 338 to 795 of the family's 1533-position model. The record is from RNAcentral.